GCAUUUGUGAGUAGGGUUAGAGUCCACGCCUGACCAUAGCAGUCCAGGCGAGCGUACGGUUAUACAGGUGCGGGGUUGGCCCGGGCAGUGCUCGGCGUGGUUCACGAUGAGCGGCGAUCCCCGAGUGGAACCCAGCACUGACUGAGGAUUCUCUGCUGCCUGGAGGUGGUUCAGCACUGACUGAGGAUGCCUUCAAAUCGAGAGCACAGGUUGGCACAGGUCCGCGUGUCUCGGACUCGGCCUGCCGGAGGAGG
Non-coding RNA from Petromyzon marinus (sea lamprey), 254 nucleotides. Lineage: Eukaryota; Metazoa; Chordata; Hyperoartia; Petromyzontiformes; Petromyzontidae. The record is from RefSeq and is a predicted model, not a curated record.